This 13962-nucleotide long non-coding RNA is filed under the name Ricinus communis (castor bean). Its description in RNAcentral is "long non-coding RNA (RCOM_LNC001791)". Lineage: Eukaryota; Viridiplantae; Streptophyta; Magnoliopsida; Malpighiales; Euphorbiaceae. The record is from RNAcentral.
CCAUGUUUCCUGGAUGCGCUGAAACAUUCCAAGAAUCUCAAGAAUCCAGUAGGAGCAGUAGACAACAAGAGCAGCACCAAAAGAUUCGCCAUUUCCGACGUGGAGAUGUCAUUGCUUUGCCAGCAGGAAUAGCCCACUGGUGCUACAACGAUGGCAAUGAACCCCUUAUUGCUGUCAGUGUUUUGGACACUGGCAACAACGCUAACCAGCUUGACAGGAACCCCAGAGUAAUAAAGAGACAAAAACNNNUGACUAAUAUCGACUUGAAUUUCUUUGCUUCUCUUGAACUUGUUUCGCAGAAUUUCUACCUAGCCGGUAAUCCAGAAGAUGAGUUCCAGCAACAAUCCAGACGCCCAGGUGAGCGUGGACACGGAGAGUAUUCCCUUGGAGGCAGCAGCGAGAGACGACAGCGAUCUUGCAACAAUGUGUUCUGCGGAAUGGACUCAAGGUUUAUCGCUGAAGCUUUCAACAUUGAUGAGCAAUUGGCUAGAAGGAUUCAAGGUCAGGAUGACGCCAGAGGCAACAUAGUGAGGGUCGAAGGUCGUAUUCAGGUAACGAGGCCACCCAGGACUCAACAAGAGAGAGAGGAGCAACUAGAACGCGAGUAUGAACAAGGCCGUCGACAUUACAAUGGCAUUGAGGAGACUUUUUGCACCAUGAGGAUGAGGGAAAACAUUGCUGAUCCCUCACGCGCUGAUAUCUUCGUCCCUGAAGUUGGUCGUAUGAGCACCGUCAACAGCCACAGUCUCCCUAUCCUUCGGUGGCUCAAACUCAGUGCUUCACAUGCUGUUCUCCGCAAUGUAAGUCAAAUAGCCCAUUCCAUAGCCAAUGGCACAUCAUCAUUUGCGCUGCUUCCAUAAUUCAUAACUAAAGAUGAAUAAUGUUAUUCGCAGAAUGCUGUGAGACUGCCUCACUGGCACAUGAAUUCCCAUAGCAUAUUAUAUGCCAUAAGGGGUCAAGCACGGAUUCAGGUGGUAAAUGAAAAUGGCAACAGUGUCUUCGACGGUAGUGUAAGGCAAGGACAAGUCCUGACACUGCCACAGAACUUUGUGGUGGUGAAUAGGGCAGAGAGUGACAAUUUCGAAUACGUUUCCUUCAAUACCAAUGACAAUGCCGUGGCCUUUGAUGUUGCUGGCCGCACCUCAGCCCUUCGGGGCAUGCCAGUGGAAGUAAUUGCAAACGCAUUCAGAGUUUCGAUAGAGGAAGCCAGGAGGAUCAAGUUCGGGAGGGAGGAGACCACCCUUGGUAGCUCACUGUCUCAGCCAAGGAGGGCAGCUGCUUAAGCAGUAAAAUUACAGUAUGAACAAUGUAAACUAAAGGAACACACACCCUUUUUCGUGUUAAUGUAAGUAUGAUGUUUAGAAAUAAAAGAGACUUCCAUGGUCUCUGUACGCUGUAAGCACGUAAGUAGAGAGGACUUCUACUUGGCAAUAAAAAUGCUUCUUAUUUUAUGAAGUAAUUGGUUCCUCGUCCUUUGGCAGAGAAUAAAUUUGGUGAUAAAUUGACCUGAAACGCCAAAUGUAAUAUCAAAAAACAAGACUAUACAUAUCCUAUUGUCAUAGGAUCAUCAUUAUUCUGAAGGCCCUUAAUUUGCUUCUAAAUUAAUCCAUUUGCAUGUAUAACUAGAGCACUAAACAAGAGCAAGUACUACCACAUUGAAAUACACAGAACAGAAGACGUGUUAUAAAAUAAAUACCAACAUUCAUAUCCGACUGGAAAUUGGAAUUAGAGCACUAUUGCAUUUCUUUUAUCAAUCAAUUAAGCAAUGGAUAUGUUCAAAUAAAUUAGGAAUCAACUUUUAUGCAAAUAGUUCACCAAACAUGAUGUAAGUUUCUAAUAUGAUACUCCUGCAAAAUUUGUUUACAUCAAUACCCCUAUUACAAAAAACAACAGCAUCUCAUUUUAUUCAAACACAAUAGUAGCAAGCUUGAUUUUUCUUUCUUCGGGGCUGCUGUAAGCUUUUCCUUUACAUUCCUGCUAAACCAGCUUAUCUCCUUUGCUCCAAACUAAUCUGAUUCUGUUGAUACGAACAAAAGUAAACCUUGCCCCAAACUGAAGCAGAAAUAAUAGCACAUUUAGAAAAUAAGUGCUCCCAGCAAUUUACCUUGUCAAAAUUAGGUCUUCCGGGCACUAAUAAUAAAAAAAAUAUCACUGAAUUUUAAGUAUCAGGUAUAUGAUCUUUACUUAAGAAUUUUAAAGUAACUGCAUAUUUAAAGUUCGAACUUAAUACCUUAGUUAAACUAAAAAAAACCUUUACCAUCUAAUCUACACAUUCUUUUUGGAUUUUAGCGACUAAUUAUUGUAUUUCAACUAUCGCAAAUAUUUUUAAAAAAAUUAAUAAAUUUAAUAAGCAUCUAUUGCUAAGGGUGUCAUCGAGAUAAAACACAAAAUGAAUGAAUUAUGCCAACUACGAUAAUCGAUAUGUUUUAUUAAAGCUAAAGGGUUAAUUUGGCCCCUAAACUAUUUUUCAAAAUCUAAUUCUUUCCAAAUCAGUUUCUUGGCUAAUUACAUCAAAAUUCGCUGUAAAAAAUGUGUGAGCCUCAAAAUCAUUUUACCAAAAAUUUCAACAUAUCUUUUCUUCCUCCUGUUGUUGUGAUAAUAAGCCUUAGUCUCAAACGAUCAAUCACGACUUGAUUUUCUAAAAGUAGUAGCAUCAGACUCGUUCCGACAACGACAACAGUUUUGGAGAUCAGGGGUUUCAAGAGACAAUUGAUUUUCUUAAAAUAUUUUCAAACUAGUUUAGGGGGUGUUUGGAACUAAUCAGCCAUUAACCAGAGACUUUUAUAUAGUUUGGCCAAAAAUUAAAUCAAGCUGAAUUAACUUUGGAAAAUAAUUCAGAGGCCAAACACUUUUAAAACUGUCGACAAUUACUUCUUAUAUAUCAAUUUCCCAACUUCUCUUGGAGCCGACCCAAAUGGUGGAUAAACUUUGUAUUAAAUUUGUUUUUAUUAUAAGAUUUUACUUUGUUGUAUUUUAAUCAUUUAAUUUAAACUAUAUUUAAGUCACUUUCAUGAACAAAAGAUUGAUACUUCACAAAUACAAUGAAUAGAGAAAAGAACAAAUAAAAGAAACUCUCUAACUUAGAAAGGUGAUUAAAAUCAAAAUUAGGAAACUGAAACAAAUUUGGCAUCAUUAUUCCAACCACUUGUCAAAGAAUAUAAAAUCUAUUGUAUACUUAAUUUUUGUUUUCUUGGUAGAAACAUAUAGGGCAGAACCAAAACAGAAAGAUUAUACUUUAAUAAAAUUUAUGCCCACGUCAUAUCCAAAUUACAAAUCAGAGGUACCACUUGGAGGUUCAAGAUACACUUCAGUCAAUCGCAUUUACAAAAACGGUUCACCUACCUAAUUAACAAGAAAAUUAUUAUUUAUAAAAGUUAGUCGUUUACCGUGACUGUCGUAAUUAUUUUCAAUAUUAAUAAUAAUAGAAAUUGUGUCUAUAUAUAAAAUUAAAUAAUUUUUUUAAUAUUUUAUAAUUAUUUAAAAUAUUUAAAAAUAAAUUAAAUAUGUUUAACUACUUUGUUAGUUUUUUAUCUUUUAAAAUUUUAUUAAUAUAAUAAUAUAAAAUUAUAAAAAAAAAAACUAUAAAAUUAUAUAUAAACUUGAAUUCUACAUGUCAAUAAUUAGUACACAUGUCAAAAUUUAAAAUUAUAUGUGUCAGAAUAUGGUAACAAAUGUAAAAAAAAAAAUUAUUAGACCAUAUACAUAUUAAAAUUUUUAUUUAUUUAUAUGUAUUAAAAUAUUCAUUUUUUUUAUGUAUAAUGUCCAUUAGAUGUAAUAUUCUAUAAUAAUUAAUUUUUUUGUAUUGAAAUAUUCAUUAUCUAUGAACUUAAUAUUCAUUAUGAUUAAUGUCGUGUUUAUUUUGUUUGAUAUAUUAUUUUUCAAUAUUAGUAUUAAUAUUUAUUAUAUGGUACUACAAUAUUCAUUGUCCGUAUAAUAAUGUUCAUCAAUAUUUUUAAAUAUUGAUUUUUUUAUGAAAAUUUUUAUUGUUUUUGUAAUGCAUGUUGAAAAAAAUUAUGGUUGAUAUAAACAUUUAUCAUUUAUAGGCAUAAUACUUAUUAAUUUGUCAUUGAUGAAAAUCAUACUACUAAUUCAUUAAAAUGAAUAUAUAUAAUAUAAAUCAUCCUAACAUAGUCAGUAAAAAAAAUAUCAAGUUAAAAUUAUAAUAUAAAUAAUUAUACUGUAGUGCACGUAUCUUUUCAAUAGAUUAAAUUGAUUAAUAAUGAAUAUUUUAUAUUUAAAUAGUAAAUAUUUAAUGUAUGUUUAAUAAUUAUAAAUUAAUAAAUAUUAAUUAUUUUUAAAAAAAAUUACGUUAUCAUCUAGUAUGAACGUCAACGUGUCAGGCGCUCACGCGAAUAUUUUUACAAACAAAAUGGCGCUUGAGGCAAUAAAGCUAUAUGUAAAAGGCUCUAUCUUAUAAUUUGAUUAAAAUUGAACUCCCAAUGGGUAGCCAUUAAAAUCGCCUACCACAUAUAGAAAGUAACAACCAUAAUUGAACACUUCACCAAGUGAAUCAAUUUUAAAAGGAAAAUUAAAAAUGUGAAGCAUAAAAGAAAACAAGAGAAAAUUAUUCACUAUACUGCACUAUAUAGACUUACAGUGGUAAUCAAUGAGUUGCUUACCCUUCAAACAAAUCUAAUUUAAAAAUAAAUAUAAAAUGUCCAUGAAGACGCAUACAAAGACAAAUUAGCUGUUAGUAUUCUCAUCCUUUUCAUGGCCACUCUUGCAUUCAUCUCUCAAGUUUUGAGACACUUGCCCAACCUGACUUUAUUAGGUGUAAGAUAUUAGGCCAGAUUAACCAUGCAAAUUCAAGAGUAAGCUAAACAGUUCUCGUCCUUAUGGCCUUCCUCUGCUAUAAAUACCAACCUCUACCACCCCAUUUAUCACAAAUUAUAAACAGCAUUCCCUCCUCUGUAGCUACCACCAAGAUGGUUAAGCCAAUCCUGCUGUGUGCUUCUCUUUGCCUUAUUCUUCUCUUCCAUGGCUCCUCUGCUGGCUCUUCAUUUCAGCAGCAAAACGAGUGCCAACUCAAUAGGCUCAAUGCCUUUGAACCUGAUAACCGUAUUCAGAGCGAAGCUGGUACAAUUGAGUCAUGGAAUCCUAACCACGAUCAGUUCCAGUGCGCUGGUGUGGCUGUAACCAGGCACACUAUUGAACCCAGAGGCCUUCUGUUGCCAGCUUACAGCAAUGCUCCCCAACUCGUCUAUAUAGUCCAAGGUAUGUAGAAAUACGAAGUCUUUCUUUCAAAAGCAGCAAAAGAAGAUUACUUGCGUUUGCAUUUGUUUGAUAAGUGCUUACGAUGAUGGACUUAAAUAUGUAAAUUCAGGUAGGGGUAUGUUCGGGGUAAUGUUUCCUGGAUGCUCUGAAACAUUCCAAGAAUCUCAACAAUCCAGUAGCAGCAGUGGGCAACAAGAGCAGCACCAAAAGAUUCGUCAUUUCCGCCGUGGCGAUAUCAUUGCUUUGCCUGCAGGAGCAGCCCACUGGUGCUACAACGAUGGCAACGAACCCGUUGUUGCUGUCACUGUUUUUGACACUGCCAACAACGCUAACCAGCUUGACAGGAAUCCCAGGGUACGUAAUAAAGAAACAAAAACCUACAUGACUAUAGAUAUUGAUUAAUUAAGGUUGGUUUGGCUAAUACCAAUUUAAAUUUAUUUGCUUCUUUUCUACUUGUUUCACAGAACUUCUAUCUAGCCGGUAAUCCAGAAGAUGAAUUCCAGAAACAAUCCAGACGCCCAGGUGAGCGUGAACAGGGACGAUAUUCCCUUAGCGGUGCCAGCGAGCGACGACGGGGAUCUUGCAACAAUGUGUUCUGUGGAAUGGACUCAAGGCUCAUCGCUGAAGCUUUCAACAUCAACGAGCAAUUGGCUAGAAAGCUUCAAAGCGAGAAUGAUUUCAGAGGCAACAUAGUGUGGGUGGAAGGUGAUCUUCAGGUAACAAGGCCACCAAGGACUCAACAAGAGAGAGAGGAGCAAGAAGCGCGUGAAUAUGAAGAAAGCAGGGGACAUGAAAGAACUUACAAUGGCAUUGAGGAGACCUUCUGCACCAUGAGAAUGAAGGAAAACAUUGCUGAUCCAUCACGCGCUGAUAUCUUCGUCCCUGAAGUUGGUCGUAUGAGCACCGUCAACAGCCAUAACCUCCCUAUUCUCCGGAGCCUCCGACUCAGUGCUUCCCAUGUUGUCCUCCGCAAUGUAAGUUUAAUUAUUUCCUUCUUAAUCCCUUGAUUGCCGAUGGCGCAUCAAAAGACUUAUGCCAUUACUGAUGAUCUGGGUAUGUUAUUGGGCAGAAUGCUGUUAGAAUGCCCCACUGGAACACGAAUGCCCACAGUGUAAUAUACGCCAUAAGGGGUCAAGCACAGAUUCAGGUUGUUGAUGAAAAUGGCAGGAGUGUCUUUGACGGCAAUGUAAGGCAAGGGCAGGUUCUGACAGUACCACAAAACUUCAUGGUAGUUAAAAGGGCAGAGAGUGAUAGAUUCGAGUAUGUUGCCUUCAAAACCAACGAUAACGCCAUGACUUUCGAUGCUGCUGGGCGCACUUCUGCUAUUAGAGCCAUGCCAAUAGAGGUCGUAGCCAACGCAUUUCAGGUGUCGGUGGACGAAGCCAGGAGGAUCAAGUUCGAGAGGCAGGAGUCCACCUUUGGUAGGUCCAGGACUCGCUCAGGGAGGAGAGAUGUUGCUUGAGGAAGCAUUGUAAAAUUAAAAUAAGAGGCACACACUUGGCCGUUUUUUGUUCUCUGAGUGUGCAACUAAAUAUAAGGUCUAGAAAUAAAGGAUACUUUGAUGGUCUCUCAUAUUACGCUUAUGUAAGUAGGAAGAGCUUCUACUUGGCAAUAAACAAAAUCUUCUCUUUUAUCUUUUAUCCUUUUUUUUUUUUUUAUCUGGUCUAUGAAGAAGCAAUAAAGAGAUCGUUUCUUCUUUUUUACCUUUUCUUUCUCUGUCCAUGAAGAAGAGAUGUAAAUGUCAAUUUUGAACAUGCUCGUGCUUGACCUUCCAUAUUCGAUAUGAAGAAGGUUACUAAUCCUCGACAGAACACAUCCAUAUUCGAUAGGGUGUUGUUUAGCAGCGGUGGUCCUUUGCAUUUGGUUGUUGAUUGUAUUUGAAUUAGUGUCUCUGAGAUUAUGAAAAUCCGAUGGUAUGCUAGUUGGCUGCCUAAACUGCUGUAACAGGUUAGUUGGCUGCCUCGCCCUUGACUUGGUUUAAAGUUAAUUCUGAUGGUGAGUCGUUGUCUUCUUCUGGUUUAGCCAUGGCUGGUGGCUAAUUAGGAAUCAUUAGGGGGUUUACAUUUAAUAUUGGUGCUUGUUCUAUAACUAGAGCUGAAAUGUGGGGUAUGCUUAAGGGUAUUCAAUUGGCUCGAGAGUUGAAGUUGAUAGUCAAUGCGCUGUCCAUUUGGUGCAGAAUUCUGCUAGACUGGGUAAUGCGAAUGGUGCUAUUAUAAGAGAAAUUCAUCAGUUUGUUUCUAAUAAAGACUCGGAGGUAAGAAUUGUUUUGCGACUUAGUUCGGCUGCACAUUGCAUUGGGUGGCUAAUAGCUAGUAAUUCAAAGUUGAUAAAAUAAAUAGUUUUAUAAAAUUUUAUUAGUAUAUUAAAUAGUUAUUAAAGAUAUAAUCUAGUUUUACAUAUAUAUUUAAUUUUAUUAUACUAUCUUUAAUAAUAUAAAUUAAAAAAUAAAUUAUAAUAAUUAAAAAUAUUAUGGUUAAUUUUUUAGUUUAAUUGUAUUUGUAUUUAUUAUUAAAAAUAUUUGUAAAAGUUAUUUUUAAAAUAAAAAUUUAAAUUUAAAUUUUAUUAAAAAUUUAAUAAUUUCAAAUACUAUAAUUAUUUAACUAUUAAGAAUAAAUUUAAAAUAAUAAUUAUUUAUUAUAAAAUAUAAAAAUUUAAUUAUAUGAAAUCAACUUAAAGUAAGUUAUUAUUAAUAAAUUUUAAUAAGAAUAAUAGUAUCCAAAUAAAAAAGAAUAAAUCAGUUAUCAACUAAUAAAAAAAAAAUAAUUAGAGCCAGUACAAUCAAUAAUUGAUUGAACUAAAUCAGUUAUUAACUAUUGUUUUUUAAAUUUUUAUUAAAUAUUUUAAUAUAGUUAUUCAGUGAAAAAUAACUAAAUCAACUAUGAGUUGCUCAUUCUUAAGUCAUUACAAAACGCUUUAAUAUAGUUAUUUAGUAAGAAACAAAUAUCGGCUGCACAAAAGAAUUGAACCGAAUAUUCUCUUUAUAUCUAUAGAUAAAAGAACUUUAAAAUGAAUCGAACUCGAGCUUCUACCAUAUUAAAACAAAUAGAACUCCAGCUUGUCAAAAUUCGGCUCUACUCAAUUCCUUACGGUCCUAUUGUGCUGUUUUUAGUGCUCGGUUUAUUUGACUUUAGUUUUCUUUUUUACUUUUUCUUAUUUGUAAUAAUAAUAAAAAAAGAGGCAUGUAGUAAAAAAAAAAAUUAGGAUAAAAGAACAACGCAACUAAAAAAAGGCAGAAACAGAAGAGAUACAAGAUACGAUAAAACAACCAAAAAAAGGCAGAAGUAUAUAGGGCCAAAGAAAGGCAAUAAAAUUCUUCAAUAUGCCAUACACUUUGCUUUGCCUUACACUUCCAAAAGCCUGUCACUAUUCCUAACAAGACACUACAAUAGCAUAUUCUGAUCCAAUAAGAAAGUUAUCAACUUUCUUUUUUCUUCUUUUUUUAUUCUUCUUUUUCAUCGUGUAUAUAUAUAUUUAGAAUUAAUUUAGAGUUCGUCGGAUAAAACUUUUAUCCAUCACAAAAUACUAUCUCAAAAAUAAUAAUACAAUUGCAUACUCAAAAUUCGAAUUUGAAACCUUACUUAAGCUAGGUUAUAUUUUUAUCAUUUCAUUUACGCACUCUUAAAUAUAUAUAUAUAUUUUUUAUUAUUUAGAUGCAAAAGGCAAAAAUUAAUACCAAGCCCAAUGAUACAUGUUUUUUUUUAGAUAGAGAGGUAUUUGUAUUAAGUUCGCCCACACUCCGGCAACACUGUUCUCAUGCAGCCAUACCUAAUUGAAAUGGCAGAUUUAACUGAACAGGAGUUGUUUGUAUUUGGAGCCCAUAUUCUUUUAUCAGAUUGUAUAUUCUUUUAUCAGAUUCUAUAUGUAGAUCAUCAAUUUUGUUAUAUUUUGAUUGAAAUCCUUUAAGAAAUUCAUUUCAUUUAAAAAGAAUAACAUAAAAAAAAAAUUGAAAUAAUAAAAUUGAAAGAACUAUGUUGGUGUUAUGCAAUACACUUAUAAACUAAUAUANNNAACUAAUAUAAAUUUUAUUUAAAAAUUUUAUCUAUUUUGUUAGAAUUUAAUUUAGUUAAAUUCUACACAAAUUUUAUUAUAUAAAAUUCUAAGUUAAUAUUCACUUCAUUUAAAACAUAAAAAAUUUAAAUUUAUAAAUAAAUUAUAAAAUUUUUAUAAAUUACAACCAAACACAAUAAGUGACACUAAAACCAAUUCAGAUCGUGCCAAAUGUCCAUUUCUUUGAUAAGAAUAUUAUUGCCUAAACAAAAAAGGAGCAAAUUUAAUCCAAAUAUUAAUUCAAAAAUUUACCAAAAAAUUAGAUUUGGUGUAUGUUACCACCUAUAUACAAAAUCGAUAAAUGAUUGACAGAUAUUUAUUAGUAUUAAAUAAUAAAGUAUGUGUCAAUUAUCUAAUACUAAAACAUAAAAUACUCAUACAUACGUGUUAUUUUCUUAUUAGUUGUGGUAUAUAUAUAUAUAUAUAUAUAUAAAGCCUAAAUAAAAAAAUUUACAGCAUGGACUAAACUUACGAGAAUUUAAUAUGCUGGACAAAAUUUUGGUUCCAGUUGGGUCUGCAUAAUAUGUAUCCAAAUAGUAGACAUAUUUUGAGUUGAGGAUGAGGAUACCCAAUUAUAUAGUGUUAGACCAUACUUAUCCAAAUAAAUUCUUUUGAUUGGUUUAAAAAUAUGAGUUUUAUUGGAUUAUAUACAUUUGUAAAUUUCUUGGUCCAAUUUUAGUCUAUAUUAUAUUUAUAUAUAUCAGUGACACAUAUUGAUACAAUCCAUCUUUUUAUAUUUAAUAUUUAAUAAAUUAAUAAUUUUAUUCGUUAACAAAUUUUUGAAAAAUUAACUUCAUUCUUCUUUGGAUAAUUAGGAAAAAAUGCUAAUUAUUUAUGUAUUAUUUGCCUUUACAUUAUAUUUGGUUGUAACAAUAAUUUUGUAGAAUUUAUUUCAAAUCCAAAAUUUAUUUGUUUACUAUAUUAACGAGGUAAUAUAUUUCGUGAGAUUAAUAUCAUUUAAUUAUUUCAUAUUUUUGUCUCGUAUUUUUUAUCUAUAUAAUAUUAUUAAUUAUUCAAAAUGUAAUAUUAAUUUCAAUGGAAGUGAAUCAUAUACUUUUCAUUUAACACAAAAAAAAUAUUGUCAAUUCAUUUAUAAAUAAAAUGAAUUCAUCAAUCAAAGGUAAUAUUAGUGUUAUUAUUUUAAUAUUUAUUAUUAGUAGUAAAUUUGAAGUUUUAGAAGUUACCAAUUUUAAUAUCCGGGGAAGUUACCACUUAUAAGAACCUUUAAAAGUUAGUACAUGCAAAAAAAUGGAAGAAAAUUGACACAUAGGCCACCAACAAAAAGAAGUGAAAGGAAAUAAUAUUUUCUAUUAAAGGAAUGUGCAGCAUGAUUUUUACGCUAAUUACUUAUUUUCGAUUGAGAAUUAAUUAAUUAUUUUGUAUUUUCAUAACAACUGUUUCAUUUUAUAUAAUAACUUGUUAAUUUUAAAUUUAUAUAUAUAUAAUUUAUUAAAUUCUUUACAAAAAUACCCCGUUUCGCAAUAGUAAUAUUUUUACCUCCAAAAAGAAGUCUUAUAAAAAUUCCCCUUUUAACUAAAACUCUUUUAUAAAAAUAUGCUUUCUCCGUGAUGUGUUAUAUGUGCAUUUCUUGCAUGGUAUUUUACAUUCAAUAAAAAUACACUUAUUAAAAUAUUAAAAUAAGACACACGAUUAGUGGAUAUAUUUUUAAAAAAAUUUAUAAUGGUUAUUUUAUUUUUAUUUUUAUUUUUAUGACCUAUGUUUUUAUAUGAAUUUAAUUUCUUCUUUUAUUUUUCAGAAAUGCAUAUUUUAUAUUAAUUAAUUAAUUAAUAUAGAUGACUUCCUUAAUAAAUUACUAUAAAUUUAAACUUUACAUCACGACUAUAACACUCUAAAAUCUCAUCAUUUUUAAAAAUUUGAAAUCUGUCCUAUACACUUUAUACUAUAUAGUUAAGUUAUUUGUAGCUCGUGUUGGACAGUUUUUAAGUUAAUGUGAGAGUAAAUACUAACUUGUUCAUAUAUUUUUCCUUAUUUAAAUCAGUACAAACAUCCCAUUUUGCAUAAUUUUACGAGUGUAGUUUAAUUUUAAAUUUUUACAUAAUUAUAAAUAUGAAAUUUUUACAAAAUUAAUAAAAUUUAUACCUCUAAUACACACAAGCUCAAAAAAUCCCUUUCAAGCUAAUAUAUAUAUUCUAAUAAUUUAAAAUUAUUUCAAAAAGUAAAUAUCUCUGAAGACAAAUCAAAUUAACAAAAUAUCAACUAAAAUAAUUUAUUUAUUUUAUUUUUUACAUCAACAAAAUAAAUAAAAAAUAACCAUAAUCAAACACAAAAUAAAGUAAAUCUAAAUACUAAAAAGUAAUUUUUCAAGAAAAAAAAUUAAUUUCUAAUAUUGUGGAUCUUCUUCAACAUAAAAGUAACAUUUUAAGGAACAUAAAACUAUUUUUUCAACAAAAAAAUGAAUUUCUAAUAUUCUAAAUUAUUUUUAACUUGUAAAUAACAAUUCAAGAAGAGAAAUUAAAGAUACUUCUUUAUAUAUUUGAAAUUCAACCAAACAUCAACAAAAUCAUUUAAUUACAUAAAGACUUAAAACAAAUAUAAAAUAUAAAAUUUGACAUAGAAAUUCAUAAUGAAACUGUGUUAUCUCUAAACAACCUUAAUGCUAUUCUAUAUUUUAAAAUACACAAGAAGCUAUUUCUGGUACAUACAACCACAGUUACUUGAAAAUACAGUCUCUUCAUUUUCACCUAUAACUAACAAUAUUUCUUUUCCUAUUGACUAAAAGGACAAAUUUUUUUUACAUCUCAUGAAUUUAUAUUCCUUCGUCGUCAUCAAAAUUACAAUCAGAAUCAAAAAAAGAAAUCCCAACGGCUUUGAAGAUAGUAGGAAUCUCGUAUUCUUCCCCUUUAUAGUACUUCUCUAUCAUCUUCUUUAGCAUUCACAAGUAAAAAGGAUUAAAUAGAGCCAAAUAUAAAUACAUGAUGAUAGUGUCGGCUCAUAUUCAUAUCUAUUUGAGAACGCCAAGACACCAUCACCGCAAGAACAACACAUCAAGAACACCAUUGCAAGAAACAGUUCCACCAAAUUUAUGAUUUUAAUUGGACCCAUUCUCUCUUCCAUAUAUGGUUUUAUAGCAGCAUCCAUGCUUGUACAAGCCAAAGAAAACAAAUAUUUUGCUUUUAACAACAGAAAAAACUAAUUUAAGAAUGGGAUGUGUUGCCUCAAAACUAGAAGAAGAAGAAGAAAUGUACCUAUCUGUAGAGAAAGAAAACCAACUUCACCUUUUCCCAUUGCUUUUCCUUCCUUCUUUUUCUACCUCUAGCUACCGUUCUUGGAUAGCUUGCUUGCGGACGAUCCGCCUUCCCUCCCCCCCCCCCCCCCCCCCCACACCAGCCUUUGACAACACUCAUUGACCGGGGAAGAAGAUUAAGAAGCUUGAAAAUUGGCUCUUCUUGAAAAAACAUAAAAAUGUAAAGAGAAAGAGUAAAAAUGUGAGGAAUUAAAACUGGAGGUAAUUUUGUAAUUAUAUUGAAAAAAAAAAGCAUAUAGGAUCUAAUUCCCUCUAAUUUAUUUUGAAUACUUUGAUUUCAUACAAUUUUAUAAUUUUUAUUCUUUGUGAACUUUAUAGAUUGAUAAUAUUAAUAUUUAAUAAUUUUUUGAUCAAUCAGAUAUAUUAAUUAUAAAAAAAUAUAUAAACCAUUUUAAUAUUAAAAUAAAAAUAUUCACAAACAUAUAUCACUAUUUCAAAAAUUAACAUAUAUAUGUCACUACUGAAAAAUAUCAAUUUAUUAGUUACUCGAGGAAUAGAUGUAAAUCAUGUAAUUAAUUAAAAAAGAAAUUCCAAGAAGAUACAUACAAGUAGCUGCUAGUCGUCUCAUCCUUUCCAUAGCCACUUUUGUAUCCAUCUCUCAAGUUUUGAGACACAUGCCCGACCUGACUUUAUUAUGUGUAAGAUAUUAGCCCAAAUUAACCAUGCAAAUCAAACAGUAAGCUUAACAAGUUCUCGUCCUUACUAUACGCUUUCUCUUCUAUAAAUACCAACCUCUACCACCCCAUUUAUCACAAAUUAUAAACAGCAUUCCCUCCUCUGUAGCUACCACCAAGAUGGUUAAGCCAAUCCUGCUGUGUGCUUCUCUUUGCCUUAUUCUUCUCUUCCAUGGCUCCUCUGCUGGCUCUUCAUUUCAGCAGCAAAACGAGUGCCAACUCAAUAGGCUCAAUGCCUUUGAACCUGAUAACCGUAUUCAGAGCGAAGCUGGUACAAUUGAGUCAUGGAAUCCUAACCACGAUCAGUUCCAGUGCGCUGGUGUGGCUGUAACCAGGCACACUAUUGAACCCAGAGGCCUUCUGUUGCCAGCUUACAGCAAUGCUCCCCAACUCGUCUAUAUAGUCCAAGGUAUGUAGAAAUACGAAGUCUUUCUUUCAAAAGCAGCAAAAAAAGAUUACUUGCAUUUGCAUUUGUUUGAUAAGUGCUUAAGAUGAUGACUUAAAUAUGUAAAUUCAGGUAGGGGUAUGUUCGGGGUCAUGUUUCCUGGAUGCGCUGAAACAUUCCAAGAAUCUCAACAAUCCAGUAGCAGCAGUAGGCAACAAGAGCAGCACCAAAAGAUUCGUCAUUUCCGCCGUGGCGAUAUCAUUGCUUUGCCUGCAGGAGCAGCCCACUGGUGCUACAACGAUGGCAGCGAACCCGUUGUUGCUGUCACUAUUUUUGACACUGCCAACAACGCUAACCAGCUCGACAGGAAUCCCAGG